RNAcentral lists this ribosomal RNA (734 nucleotides) under uncultured bacterium. RNAcentral's name for it is "bacterial SSU rRNA". It matches the Rfam family "Bacterial small subunit ribosomal RNA", at positions 66 to 777 of the family's 1533-position model. The record is from RNAcentral.
ACGCGAAAGAAGCCUUCGGGUUUCAAGUAGAGUGGCGUCCGGGUGAGUAACACGUAGGUAAUCUACCUUCGGGUGGGGAAUAACGCAGGGAAACUUGCGCUAAUACCGCAUAAUGCAGCGGCACCACAUGGUGACAGUUGUUAAAGCGGGGGAUUUUCGAACCUCGCGCCUGAAGAGGAGCCUGCGGCAGAUUAGCUAGUUGGUAGGGUAAUGGCUUACCAAGGCGACGAUCUGUAACCGGCCUGAGAGGGCGGUCGGUCACACUGACACUGACAUACGGGUCAGACUCCUACGGGAGGCAGCAGUCGGGAAUUUUGGGCAAUGGGCGAAAGCCUGACCCAGCAACGCCGCGUGAAGGAUGAAAUCCUUCGGGAUGUAAACUUCGCAAGAAUGGGAAGAAUAGACGAGUACUAAUACUGCUCGUGAUGACGGUACCAUUUGUAAGCUCCGGCUAACUCCGUGCCAGCAGCCGCGGUAAUACGGGGGGAGCAAGCGUUGUUCGGAUUUACUGGGCGUAAAGGGCGCGUAGGCGGCCAGCACAAGUCAGUUGUGAAAUCUCCGGGCUUAACUCGGAAAGGUCAACUGAUACUGUGCGGCUAGAGUGCAGAAGGGGCAACUGGAAUUCUCGGUGUAGCGGUGAAAUGCGUAGAUAUCGAGAGGAACACCUGCGGCGAAGGCGGGUUGCUGGGCUGACACUGACGCUGAGUGCGCGAAAGCCAGGGGAGCGAACGGGA